RNAcentral lists this long non-coding RNA (480 nucleotides) under Lynx canadensis (Canada lynx). RNAcentral describes it as "lncRNA (ENSLCNG00005017312.1)". Lineage: Eukaryota; Metazoa; Chordata; Mammalia; Carnivora; Felidae. The record is from RNAcentral.
GAUCAGUGAAUCAAAGAUACGUCUUCAAGAAGCUGAGAGAAGAAGUAACAUUCACUCCGCUGAAGCUCUUAAAUUGAAAGUAAGAGAUGCGAACGGUCAAUUUGAGGAUCCAGAACUGAGAGCCGUGACGUCCAAUAACUGUGAACUGGAAGAAAGUAAAAAGGCCCUGGAGGAUAAGUGUAAUGCAUUGAGGUCUGCGAAAGCAGCCAAGGAAGCCAAAGUCAGACAGUUGAAGGAGAAAGCAGGCAUCCUUGAAGAAUUCUAUGAAGAAAGAAAAGUGGCUAUAGAAAAGUAAGAUGUUCAUGUGAUAAGAGGCCCAAGUACUGUUGUAUGAAGGCAUGUGGUGGCCAGUAUAGGUAAAUGUGUUUCUUUUAGAAUUGGAUCCAGAGUCUUUUUGCCAAAUGCAUUCAGUACAAUUGUGCCUGCCCUUCCUACCUUGCUUUCUGUAACCUGCAUUUUCCUUUCUGUCCUUAGUGCUUG